RNAcentral lists this ribosomal RNA (402 nucleotides) under uncultured bacterium. Its description in RNAcentral is "bacterial SSU rRNA". It matches the Rfam family "Bacterial small subunit ribosomal RNA", at positions 355 to 774 of the family's 1533-position model. The record is from RNAcentral.
UGGGGAAUCUUGCACAAUGGGGGCAACCCUGAUGCAGCGACGCCGCGUGAGCGAUGAAGCCCUUCGGGGCGUAAAGCUCUUUCGACCGGAACGAUAAUGACGGUACCGGGAGAAGAAGCUGCGGCUAACUACGUGCCAGCAGCCGCGGUAAUACGUAGGCAGCAAGCGUUGUUCGGAGUUACUGGGCGUAAAGAGUGCGUAGGCGGUUUUCUAAGUUCGGUGUGAAAUCUCCCGGCUUAACUGGGAGGGUGCGCCGAAGACUGGGAAGCUGUAGUGUGGGAAAGGCAGGCGGAAUUCCUGGUGUAGCUGUGAAAUGCGUAGAUAUCAGGAGGAACACCGGCGGUGUAGACGGCUUGCUAGACCAUAACUGACGCUGAGGCACGAAAGCGUGGGGAGCAAACA